This 254-nucleotide ribosomal RNA is filed under the name uncultured bacterium. Its description in RNAcentral is "partial 16S ribosomal RNA". It matches the Rfam family "Bacterial small subunit ribosomal RNA", at positions 524 to 776 of the family's 1533-position model. The record is from RNAcentral.
UACGGGGGGAGCAAGCGUUGUUCGGAUUUACUGGGCGUAAAGGGCGCGUAGGCGGUCGUGACAAGUCACUUGUGAAAUCUCCGGGCUUAACCCGGAGCGGCCAAGUGAUACUGUCGUGCUCGAGUGCGGAAGGGGCCACCGGAAUUCUCGGUGUAGCGGUGAAAUGCGUAGAUAUCGAGAGGAACACCUGCGGCGAAGGCGGGUGGCUGGGCCGACACUGACGCUGAGGCGCGAAAGCCAGGGGAGCGAACGGG